This 1268-nucleotide long non-coding RNA is filed under the name Salmo salar (Atlantic salmon). Its description in RNAcentral is "lncRNA (ENSSSAG00000095126.1)". The record is from RNAcentral. Lineage: Eukaryota; Metazoa; Chordata; Actinopteri; Salmoniformes; Salmonidae.
UGGUCCUCUAAAAUGGAGGGGUACUAUGUACAACAAAAUGCUAUAAUUUCUAAAUGGUUCGCCCGCUUUGGAUGAAGAUUACCUUCAAAUUAAAGCUGACAGUCAGCACUUUAACCCCAUAGUCAUUGUUUGAUUUCAAAUCCAAAGUGCUGGAGUACAGAGCCAAAACAACAAAUAUUUUUUUUAUUUAUUUAACCUUUAUUUAACUACGCAAGUCAGUUAAGAACAAAUUCUUAUUUACAUAUAAUGUGUCACUGUCCCAAUACUUUUGGUGCUCACUGUAUAUAAACACACAAAAACACACACAGAAGCACUGACGAAAUGAAGUGAGUAACACACGGACACACACAUAUUUGGUCUUGAUACAAAAAUUGGAAAUAACAUUGGUACAGCCCAUCACCACCUUCUAGUGGUAAACUACAUCUAAAACAGUAACUAUCAUAGAGAAUGAUAGAGGCCUCUGGUGGUAAACUACAUCUAAAACAGAACCCAAUUAGUUCACCACCAUAGAGAAUGAUAGAGGCCUCUGGUGGUAAACUACAUCUAAAACAGAACCCAAUUAGUUCACCACCAUAGAGAAUGAUAGAGGCCUCUGGUGGUAAACUACAUCUAAAACAGAACCCAAUUAGUUCACCACCAUAGAGAAUGAUAGAGGCCUCUAGUGGCCAAAAGGCCGUUUUAACAUAGACAGUGCCAUUGAGGGCUUACGCCAUUUUAAAGUAGUCAAAGUAGUCAACUGGGUGGGGAUUCCUAUGAGUUGUAGCCUCAAUGGUGCUGCCCAUGCUGUUACAGACGGUAUAAUGGCACAGAUAGUUUUAUGUGCAAUACAUACUGUAGGGAAUAGGGUGCCAUGUCGGACACAGCCCCAGUUUUUAUGUGGGUGACCCUACUAAACUCUCAUUAGUCACUAGGACUCUACUGUAACUCUCGUUGGUCACCGGCCUGUUUGACAGCCAUCGGAUAGAAAGGAGUUGGUAACCAGGGUAACGUACACUCGCGGCCACCAGGUGGUGCAGCUGGUCUAAAGUAUAAUCUCCUCUGGCCUUCUCUUUGUGUACAGUCUGAGUAGGACCAGGAGGUAUCCCUGUCUUUAAUGUCUGGGUAGGACCAGGAGGUUUUCCUGACUAUAAUGUCUGGGUAGGACCAGGAGGUUUUCCUGUCUAUAAUGUCUGGGUAGGACCAGGAGGUUUUCUUAUCUGACCAGGGGAAACUCUAGGCCCUCCAGGUUACACUAGUAGUGACUAUCCUAUAGCUGAACCAGUCCCCCC